RNAcentral lists this microRNA precursor (84 nucleotides) under Marmota monax (woodchuck). Lineage: Eukaryota; Metazoa; Chordata; Mammalia; Rodentia; Sciuridae. The record is from RNAcentral.
AGUGAAAUGGUUGGGUUCUAUGGUAAAUUUAUAUUUAAUUUUCUUUUCAAAAUGAUUGCACCAUUUUAUAUUCCUACCAGCAAU